AUUAUUUUGCCAUCUAUAAACGUACGUAGAUUUUUUUUUGCUUGUUAAAUUUUCGUUAAUCGGUUUAUAGUAAUUAUCAACCAUGUCGAAAUCGGAAAGAGUUGCGAUGGGCCAAGAUUGGGCAACUAAUAUUGCGAAAGAGGCAGGUUUGCGAAGCCAAAUGGUUUAAAGUAAACGAAAAAAGAUUAAACGAAAUCGCCAACAGUGUUCCAUCGAGAGUUGUGCCUGACGAAAUUAAGGAAGAAAUGAAACAGAACAGAAUACGGGGUUUCAAGAUUUGAAAAAGUAUCCUAGAAUUAAGACGGAGGAGCAGGUACCAGAAUUUACAGGAAACUUGCAAGAGAUAAUGAAACCCGUCGAUCCAGCAGUUAAGAAAUUGAUCUACACUGGUAGUAAUAAAGAUGGUAGACUUAAUUAUCUGCACAAGAGGAUUAAAUUAUUACCGGAAGAUAGAUUUUAUUUUCCCGAAGUUAGUAGCUUUGAGUACGGCUGGAAAAUGUGGAAUUAUGUGAAAACUAUAAAGAAAACCGGAUUUGGAAGACAACAAGUUAUUCAAGACACGUUUUAUAGAAGAAGGGGUGUGGAGAGGGAUCCUGAAUGGUACAAGGAACCAGCUCAUAUCCGCCCUACUUUCUGUAAUUCUUGCAUUUGAAAAUAAAAAUUAAU
Long non-coding RNA from Sitophilus oryzae (rice weevil), 666 nucleotides. RefSeq lists it as uncharacterized. Lineage: Eukaryota; Metazoa; Arthropoda; Insecta; Coleoptera; Curculionidae. The transcript is spliced from 3 exons. The record is from RefSeq and is a predicted model, not a curated record.